GGACUACGUGGGUAUCUAAUCCGGUUUGCUCCCCCAGCUUUCGUCCCUCACUGUCGGACCCGUUCUGGUGAGAUGCCUUCGCCAUUGGUGGUCCCACCGGGAUUACAGGAUUUCACUCCUACCCCGGCAGUACCUCUCACCUCUCCCGGUCCCUAGAAAUACAGUUUCCCCUGAACGCCCGCCAGUUAAGCCGGCGGAUUUCUCAAAGGACUUGUAAAUCCAGCUACGGACCCUUUAAGCCCAGUAAUAGCGGCCACCACUCGAGCCGCCGGUAUUACCGCGGCGGCUGGCACCGGUCUUGCCCGGCCCUUUCUUCACCAGCUGUUUACACUGGUGGACAGCCAGCCUAUGCUGGCACUCGGGGUUUCCUUAUCACGGUUGCCCGCAUUGUAAAGUUUUCGCGCCUGCUGCACCCCAUAGG
Molecule: ribosomal RNA, 421 nt
Filed under: uncultured Methanospirillum sp.
Lineage: Archaea; Methanobacteriati; Methanobacteriota; Methanomicrobia; Methanomicrobiales; Methanospirillaceae
Description: partial 16S ribosomal RNA
Source: RNAcentral